RNAcentral lists this ribosomal RNA (511 nucleotides) under uncultured bacterium. Its description in RNAcentral is "bacterial SSU rRNA". It matches the Rfam family "Bacterial small subunit ribosomal RNA", at positions 40 to 509 of the family's 1533-position model. The record is from RNAcentral.
CGGCAUGCCUAAGACAUGCAAGUCGAACGAGGUGGCCCAUAGAAGAUGGAGUGCUUGCACAAAAUCGGACAUGGAUUCCCACCUAGUGGCAGACGGGUGAGUAACACGUGGGUGACCUACCUUUAAGAUGGGGAUAACAGUUGGAAACGAUUGCUAAUACCGAAUAAGAUAUAACGGUCGAAGUUAUAUAGAAAGGAGCCUUUAAAGCUUCGCUUAGAGAUGGGCCUGCGGCGUAUUAACUAGUUGGCAGGGUAAUGGCCUACCAAGGUAACGAUGCGUAGCCGGACUGAGAGGUUAGACGGCCACACUGGGACUGAGACACGGCCCAGACUCCUACGGGAGACAGCAGUUAGGAAUAUUCGUCAAUGGGGGAAACCCUGAACGAGCAAUGCCGCGUGAGUGAAGAAGGUCUUUGGAUUGUAAAACUCUGUUGUAUGGAAAGAAUGUGCAUAUUAGGAAAUGAAUAUGCAGUGACGGUACCAUGCGAGAAAGCCCCGGCUAACUACGUGCC